This 326-nucleotide ribosomal RNA is filed under the name uncultured eukaryote. RNAcentral describes it as "partial 18S ribosomal RNA". It matches the Rfam family "Eukaryotic small subunit ribosomal RNA", at positions 1470 to 1796 of the family's 1831-position model. The record is from RNAcentral.
CCCUUAGAUGUUCUGGGCUGCACGCGCGCUACACUGACACGAUCAACGAGUUUGUCCUUUCCCGAUAGGGCUGGGUAAUCUUUUCAAAUCGUGUCGUGAUGGGGAUAGAUUAUUGCAAUUAUUAAUCUUCAACGAGGAAUGCCUAGUAGGCGCAAGUCAUCAGCUUGCGUCGAUUACGUCCCUGCCCUUUGUACACACCGCCCGUCGCUCCUACCGAUUGGGUGUGCUGGUGAAAUGUUCGGAUCGGCCGUUUGUCGCGGUUUCCGCGUCAUGUGGCUGAGAAGUUCAUUAAACCCUCCCACCUAGAGGAAGGAGAAGUCGUAACA